This 269-nucleotide ribosomal RNA is filed under the name uncultured bacterium. RNAcentral describes it as "partial 16S ribosomal RNA". It matches the Rfam family "Bacterial small subunit ribosomal RNA", at positions 71 to 339 of the family's 1533-position model. The record is from RNAcentral.
UUGAAGAGCUUGCUUUUUAAGCUUAGUGGCGAACGGGUGAGUAACGCGUGAGUAACCUGCCCUGGAGUGGGGGACAACAGUUGGAAACGACUGCUAAUACCGCAUAAUGUAUUCUGACCGCAUGAUCGGAAUACCAAAGAUUUAUCGGAUAUGGAUGGGCUCGCGUACCAUUAGAUAGUUGGCAGUGUAACGGACUACCAAGUCGACGAUGGUUAGCCGAUCUGAGAGGAUGACCGGCCACAUUGGAACUGAGAAACGGUCCAGACUCC